This 465-nucleotide ribosomal RNA is filed under the name uncultured bacterium. Its description in RNAcentral is "partial 16S ribosomal RNA". It matches the Rfam family "Bacterial small subunit ribosomal RNA", at positions 28 to 507 of the family's 1533-position model. The record is from RNAcentral.
GACGAACGCUGGCGGCGUGCUUAACACAUGCCAGUCGAACGGAAAGGCCCUGCUUGCAGGGUACUCGAGUGGCGAACGGGUGAGUAACACGUGGGUGAUCUGCCCUGCACUUCGGGAUAAGCCUGGGAAACUGGGUCUAAUACCGGAUAGGAGCCAUUUUUAGUGUGAUGGUUGGAAAGUUUUUUCGGUGUAGGAUGAGCUCGCGGCCUAUCAGCUUGUUGGUGGGGUAAUGGUCUACCAAGGCGGCGACGGGUAGCCGGCCUGAGAGGGUGGACGGCCACAUUGGGACUGAGAUACGGCCGAGACGCCUACGGGUGGCAGCAGUGGGGAAGAUUGAACAAGCGGCGCAGGCCUGAUGCAGCGACGCCGCGUGGGGGAUGACGGCCUUCGGGUUGUAAACACCUUUCGCUAGGGACGAAGCGUUUUGUGACGGUACCUAGAGAAGAAGCACCGGCUAACUACGUG